This 1209-nucleotide ribosomal RNA is filed under the name Triticum aestivum (bread wheat). RNAcentral's name for it is "partial small subunit ribosomal RNA". The record is from RNAcentral. Lineage: Eukaryota; Viridiplantae; Streptophyta; Magnoliopsida; Poales; Poaceae.
AUGUGUAUACCAAAGAGGAAGGGAGGAAUGGGAUUUUGAGACCUUCACAAUUUUAAUCUUGCUAUGUUAACAAAGUAGUGUUGGCGACUUCUCCAGAAUCCUGAUUCUUUUUGUGCUUGAGUUCUAAGUGCAAAGUAUUAUCCAAAUGGUGAUAUUUUAAAAGCUGGACCGGAGAAAGGGUCCUCAUUUGCUUGGCAAAGUAUAGUUGCUGGAAUUCAGACUUUUAAAAGAGGUUGUAUAUGGCGAGUUGGUUUAGGAUUGCAAAUUUUUUUUGGGAAGAUCCAUGGAUCCCAUCUAGCGAGGGGAUUCAUUACACCAAGAGGAGGAACUAUGUUAACAUUGGUACAGGAUUUGAUUGACCCUCAUACAGGUCAAUGGGAUGAUCUCAUUCGUUCUAUCUUCUCGCCAGUGGAUGUCACCAGAAUUGUGCGGAUUCCCCUUCAGACUGAGGUUGUGAAAGAUUUUGUUGCAUGGCAAUAUACAAGAUCGGGAACUUUCUCGGUCCGACUGGCGGAUCAUGCGGAGUUCAAUCACGAAUUUGGGCGCCAAAUGGACAGAUCGGAUGGCCAAGGCAGUGUGCACAUAAAUCCGAUCUGGAAGGAAUUGUGGCAACUUCGUAUCCUAGGGAAAGUAAAACAUUUUGGAUGGAAGGUACUAAAGGGUGUAUUACUAUGCCUACUAGGUAUCCUGGCUGGACGACACAUCCCGGUUCUUCCACAAUGCCCGAUAUGCAAAGUUGGGUUUGAUGAUAUACAACAUCUCCUCUUUAAUUGUUGAAGAGCGAAGGAGGUAUGGACCAAACUUGGCUUACAUGAUGUUGUCCAACGUGCACUAGUUCAAGACAGAUUUGAUUCAGUUACUCUAGAAAUUUUGUCGAAACCCCGCGAGAUGGUUGAUGAACUUCCAAAAGAAGAGCUAAUCUUGGUGGUUAUGUGGUAUAUAUGGUGUCAAAGGCGUCAAAUUGGAAAAGGAGAAACCUUCCAGGAGCCUAGUCGCUCGGCUGCCUCAAUCCUGGUUCUGGCAACGAUUUUUUUUAGAGCUGCAACACCAAAGCAACCUACCAGGAAAGAAAUUCAUACUUGGCGGGAACUGUUUGAUGGCAAUGUUAAGAUAAAUGUUGAUGCAUCUUUUCACCUUGAAACUCUUUUUGGAGCUAGUGGCGCGGGGGCGAGAGACCACAAGGGGAAUUUCAUAGCUGUGGCGACUUGA